CCGAGUUCAUGCCCUUACGGGUAGAUCUCCCACCCUAUGUUAUAUUACCUUUGUUGCUUUGGCGGGCCGACAGGCUUCGGCCAGUCUACCGGCUCCGGCUGGUAAGCGCCCGCCAGAGGACCCCAAACUCUGAAUUUUAGUGUCGUCUGAGUACUAUCUAAUAGUUA
Molecule: unclassified non-coding RNA, 167 nt
Filed under: uncultured fungus
Lineage: Eukaryota; Fungi
Description: sequence contains ITS1, 5.8S rRNA gene
Source: RNAcentral